GUGGCGAACGGGUGAGUAACACGUGAGCAAUCUGCCCUUGACUCUGGGAUAACUGCGGGAAACUGUAGCUAAUACCGGAUACUUUCCUCGCUGGGCAUCCAGCGGGGAAGAAAGAAUUUCGGUCAAGGAUGAGCUCGCGGCCUAUCAGCUAGUUGGUGAGGUAAUGGCUCACCAAGGCGACGACGGGUAGCCGGCCUGAGAGGGUGACCGGCCACACUGGAACUGAGACACGGUCCAGACUCCUACGGGAGGCAGCAGUGGGGAAUAUUGCACAAUGGGCGAAAGCCUGAUGCAGCAACGCCGCGUGAGGGAUGAAGGCCUUCGGGUUGUAAACCUCUUUUAGCAGGGAAGAAGCGAAAGUGACGGUACCUGCAGAAAAAGCACCGGCUAACUACGUGCCAGCAGCCGCGGUAAUACGUAGGGUGCAAGCGUUGUCCGGAAUUAUUGGGCGUAAAGAGCUCGUAGGCGGUUUGUCACGUCUGCUGUGAAAAUCCGAGGCUCAACCUCGGACUUGCAGUGGGUACGGGCAGGCUAGAGUGCGGUAGGGGAGAAGGGAAUUCCUGGUGUAGCGGUGGAAUGCGCAGAUAUCAGGAGGAACACCAAUGGCGAAGGCACUUUUCUGGGCCGUAACUGACGCUGAGGAGCGAAAGCGUGGGGAGCGAACAGGAUUAGAUACCCUGGUAGUCCAC
Molecule: ribosomal RNA, 689 nt
Filed under: uncultured Microbacteriaceae bacterium
Lineage: Bacteria; Bacillati; Actinomycetota; Actinomycetes; Micrococcales; Microbacteriaceae
Description: bacterial SSU rRNA
Rfam family: Bacterial small subunit ribosomal RNA
Source: RNAcentral